Molecule: ribosomal RNA, 497 nt
Filed under: uncultured bacterium
Lineage: Bacteria
Description: partial 16S ribosomal RNA
Rfam family: Bacterial small subunit ribosomal RNA
Source: RNAcentral
GACGAACGCUGGCGGCGUGCCUAAUACAUGCAAGUUGAGCGAUGAAGAUUGGUGCUUGCACCAAUUUGAAGAGCAGCGAACGGGUGAGUAACGCGUGGGGAAUCUGCCUUUGAGCGGGGGACAACAUUUGGAAACGAAUGCUAAUACCGCAUAACAACUUUAAACAUAAGUUUUAAGUUUGAAAGAUGCAAUUGCAUCACUCAAAGAUGAUCCCGCGUUGUAUUAGCUAGUUGGUGAGGUAAAGGCUCACCAAGGCGAUGAUACAUAGCCGACCUGAGAGGGUGAUCGGCCACAUUGGGACUGAGACACGGCCCAAACUCCUACGGGAGGCAGCAGUGGGGAAUCUUCGGCAAUGGACGAAAGUCUGACCGAGCAACGCCGCGUGAGUGAAGAAGGUUUUCGGAUCGUAAAACUCUGUUGGUAGAGAAGAACGUUGGUGAGAGUGGAAAGCUCAUCAAGUGACGGUAACUACCCAGAAAGGGACGGCUAACUACGUG